UUCUUAUCAAGAGAGGUAGAGGGACUGGCCCUGUGAUACCCGGCAACCUUAUUGUUUUCAAUGGUGCUAAUUCCAGCAGGCAUGUAUUUGCUUGACAGAUGAGAA
Molecule: non-coding RNA, 105 nt
Filed under: Clostridium kluyveri
Lineage: Bacteria; Bacillati; Bacillota; Clostridia; Eubacteriales; Clostridiaceae
Also listed under: 1 other name
Description: SAM-I sequence
Rfam family: SAM riboswitch aptamer (S box leader)
About the family: The SAM riboswitch is found upstream of a number of genes which code for proteins involved in methionine or cysteine biosynthesis in Gram-positive bacteria. The SAM riboswitch acts at the level of transcription termination control. The predicted structure consists of a complex stem-loop region followed by a single stem loop terminator region.
Source: RNAcentral